RNAcentral lists this long non-coding RNA (943 nucleotides) under Bos indicus x Bos taurus (hybrid cattle). RNAcentral describes it as "lncRNA (ENSBIXG00000020866.1)". The record is from RNAcentral. Lineage: Eukaryota; Metazoa; Chordata; Mammalia; Artiodactyla; Bovidae.
AAAUCCUGUGCAUUUAAAAACAUGAUGCUGAGGAGUUCAGAAGCCUAGCCGACUGCCAGAGGGCUAAUAACUCCCAUAUUAAACUUUGUGAAGAGCUUGAUUGGGAAGAAGAGAAUCCUUCAAGUUAUUCCACGCCAAGAGGGCCUGCAGAAUUGCCUAAGAACAGAUCUGGCCACAUUCAUUCCUUGCCUCUGGGGCUCCAGGCACUGGACUUUAGCACAUUUCUGCAGCUGAAACAUUGACUGAGGCGUUGGCAUGAAGAAAUUCAAUUUCUGUCUGCCCAAGAGUCCCAUACCAGCAGACCUGUUACAGAUGAUUCUGACAGCUCCCUACAAACAGGAAAAGUCUCAUCACUUCCAUUCAAUGAUGUUAUAGUCACAUUACAAGUCUGUGACUGGAGCUGGGAACAGCAUUUCUCAACCUCGGCAUUAUUGACAGUUGGGGCUGGAUGAGCCUUUGUUGUGGGGGUGUGUCCUGUGUGUUACAGGGCUGUAGCAGCCCCCCCUCACCUCUACCCUCUAGAGGCCAAUAACCCCCAUCCCGUCAUAGUUAAUUUUGUGCUUCUGCCUGGGGCACUGUGCCCAGCUCUGCUCUCAGAUGUUAUUCUGGUUGUUUCUGUGUGGGUCCUUUGGAUGAGAUAACAUUUAUUAUUUUUCCUGUUAUUUAUUAUUAUAUAUAUAUAUAUAUUUUUAAUUUAUUCAUUGCUUGUGCCAGGUCUUAGUUGCAGCAUGUGGGAUCUUUAGGUGCGCCUUCUAACUCUAGUUGCAGCAUGUGGGAUCUAGUUCCCCCACCAGGGAUCGGACAUGGGUACCCUGCCUUGGGAGCGUGGAGUAUUAGCCACUAGACCACCAGGGAAGCCCCGAUUUUUUAUUAUGUUAUAUAAACAUAUUUAAUAUUUGUAUAUACUAAUAAAAAUAAUGUAAUGUUAAGUAAGUGUAAUAUU